UCGGAUACAGCUAUGAAAAAAACUAUUGAAACACUUCUAAAUAUCUGUGAAUCUAUUCUGCGUUGUGCUUUUAGAUUCUUCUUUUAACAGAAAUCAGGACAGAGGUGGCCAAAAUUUAGUUUAAUAGCUACUGUGGAGCUUUAAGUCCCAUGAUGCUUUGCCAUCCUUAAUGCCAGCAAACCAUCACGGAAGCACCCUGGAGCUA
Pelobates cultripes (western spadefoot toad) is the source of this 205-nucleotide non-coding RNA. The record is from the annotation of a GenBank genome assembly. Lineage: Eukaryota; Metazoa; Chordata; Amphibia; Anura; Pelobatidae.